RNAcentral lists this ribosomal RNA (379 nucleotides) under Globigerina bulloides. RNAcentral describes it as "partial 18S ribosomal RNA". It matches the Rfam family "Eukaryotic small subunit ribosomal RNA", at positions 1311 to 1554 of the family's 1831-position model. Lineage: Eukaryota; Foraminifera; Rotaliida; Globigerinidae. The record is from RNAcentral.
CUGUGUAGGAUAGACCUCUGAACAGUACGCAACGAACGCGAUCGUAAUCCCUUGUUGAGUGGCCAUCCUGUAAGCUGCUGGAUUUGGAACCCAGUGGUAUUAUCUCAGCCACAGAUUUUCUGGUUGUAAUGGGCCAGUUUUGAAACUCGGGGAACAUCUGUGACUUUCUUUCUUAACGCAGAGGAAGGUUAUGGCAAUAACAGGUCUGUGAUGCCCUUAGAUGUCCAGGGCUGCACACGUACUACAUUGAUCAACUCAGUAGGCGUCGUGUUUUCUCCAAUAACGUAUCUAGUGGACUUGGUGUCGGGUGUGUGGCCUCUGGUCAUGUACUUUGAUUACUGUCACUUUAAACACUGGUCGUUAGACUCGUGCAAUCCAA